Non-coding RNA from Nicotiana tabacum (common tobacco), 2539 nucleotides. The record is from RefSeq and is a predicted model, not a curated record. Lineage: Eukaryota; Viridiplantae; Streptophyta; Magnoliopsida; Solanales; Solanaceae.
GGUCUCAAAUAUAAUUUGCUAAGUUUCCAAAUAUACCCUCAGCCUUAUGUUUUGGUCAUUUUGAUUCAUAACACUUUAAGCACGCUUUUAUUGUGUCAUUUAGACACAAAAGGCAGACAUGUCAAGGUAAGUGUUACUCAUAUUUGUCGAGCUGAAAGCCUGAAAUGGUCCUGAAAACGAACUACUCGUACUUCUUGCUGGAAAAUAUAAUUUUUGCUGGUCGGAUAUCAAAUCUAAAUUUUUCUAUCGAUUAAAAUGUUGGAGCAGAUUUAAUUUUCAAUUUCACGUGCUAUUGAAUUCUCUUGGAACGAGUGAAGGUGAAUCGAAGUGUUCCUGGUGGUUUCAGAGUUCAUUGACUAGUGGUAUUAAAAUUUUGAUUUUAUCACCGGUGGACUGAAGCAUCUUCGAGGAAUCUUUCCUGGUGAAAUUGACCAACCCAUAAAUUAACUUUGUAGAAAACCUUCGCUCCACUUCUUGCCGAUCCUCUGCUUGCUUUUGUUGGUAAUCUAACAGGUCAGGUAUGGCUUUUUGAAUCAUUCAAACUUCUUAGAAUCUUUUGCUUAUAGUUUCUCAUUUAUAAUAAUAUUUCGAGUCCAUUACUCAGAUGAUCACUGAACUAUGUGAAAUUAUGAAGUAAAGUCACUUUUCUUUCGUUUGUAACAAGAAAGUCCAUCAACGAUCCGUAUUACACUUUGAUGAUCACUUAACCAGAUUUAUUAAUUUUUUUCCAGUGAAAAAUGCUGACUUGGCAGUCCACAUAGACGUUUGGACUAUAUAGAAUGAUUAACACCCGAACAAAACAUAUAAACCCACCCAUACACCCGACCCGAACCAUUUAUAAAGAUUAAAAUCCACCAAAAAUCUUACAGCGCUCUUUCUUAUAAACGGGUCGAAUCGAGACAGAUUGAGUGUAUGGGUGGAUUUUUAUAUUUUCUUUUGGUGUUAAUUAUUUUAUGUAGUCCAAAAGUAAAUGUGGACGGCCAAAUCAGCAUUUUCCACCGAAAAAUUAAUAAAUCGUUGAGUGAUCAUCAGAGUGUAAUAGGAAUAGUUGAGUAACUGUCUUGUUACAAGUGAAAAAAAAGUGACUUUACUCAAUAAUUUCACAUAGUUCAGUAACUGUGUGAGUAAUGAACUCUAAUAUGGAGUAUAAUUUUACUCUUAGCUUGCUUUGUCUUGCCCCUCUACGGAGUAAAUUUAUCCUUUUCUGUAAGAUACAAUUCUUUUACAGGAUUAUAAUGUCUUAUUGUCUUACAUAGUGAUUAUUAAAUUUGUUAUACAAUUCUUAGUGACUUUCUAACGGGUUAUUGAACAUGCUAAAAUUAUCAAAACUAAUUGCUUCCUUUCAUGCUUUGUAAUGCAUGUCUCUCUAUGUGUGUUUGUGCGAGUGCACAUUCUUGUAUAUAUUUCUAGAUAGCAUCUAAACAUGACCGGAAGAUUGUGAUUAAAUGUUAAAAAUCUACCAGAGAAAAGGCCUCUAAUACUAACAGUGGGUAGUUGGACAAAAUCAAUGACAUAUAAGCAAGUUAAUUCGAAGAAACAAUAUGAGCACAUAAAUAAGAAGAACCUGAAAAAAGAUUUUCUAUGUUGCUUUAUUUACCGUGAAGUUCUUUUUAUUUUUUGAUUUUUUCUUUAUAGUAGCUUAUUUUCAUGUAGAAGUCUCCCUUAGGCUUUUUGCUUGUGUUGUCCUUGCUUUUACCACAUGUUACACCUGAUAACUUUUAAAAUGGGCUCCUUAAUUAGUUCUUUAAACUACUGUUGGUGACUGCAUUAAUAUUGGUAGUGGCGAAGCCAGGAAUUUCAUCUAGGGAGUUCAAAUUUGAAAGAAGUAAAAAAAAUCUCUGAUAAAAGGUGUUCAAUAUAUGUUAUAUAACACUAAAAUCUAAUAUUUUACCUAUAUAUACCGUGUAAUUUUUCGAUGAAGGGUGGUCAGUAACUACGUAGCUUCGCCCCUGAAUAUUGGUAUAUAAAGAGUGGCAUUUGUGUUUUUUAUCCGGGUAUUUAUGUAGAGACUUAAGAUUGCCUAUUCACUUGGAUAUUUCUGCUCUUAUUUUUGCUUUCCGAAUGAAUACUUGCAGUCAACACCAUCCUUUAUAUGGAAGUAAAUGUCCUUUACUUUCUAAUAAGUAUGCUACUUUUCCUCAUUAUUAAUUAUAUGUGUGCUUGUCCAGUUAACAACAACAACAAAAAAUUGUAUGCCUGGUGCAUCCUUUAUAUUUCAAUAAGUUUUUUAACAAGACUAAAAUAUUUUAUUCUCAAAAUAGGUGAUGUCGACCCAAUUGACAUAGACUUGACUGUUUAAUAUUUUCACAUGAAAAUAUAAGAUAUUAACAAUCAGUUUAGGGUGAACUAAAGAUUAAACUCCUUGCCUUGUUUAGGAUUUAGUAUUCUAGGCACUUGAUGGGCAUUUUGAGCAAUUAGGAAAAAAUCUGUUGUACUUUAGCAAGAAAUAUUAUUUGGUAAUUUGAAGUAGUACACAUUUUGCUUUUAUUCAUUACAAAUUUUGUAUCUUGAGCACAAGAAAGUAUUUGAUAUCUUCAUA